Long non-coding RNA from Odontomachus brunneus, 1263 nucleotides. RefSeq lists it as uncharacterized. NCBI's taxonomy places the organism in Eukaryota, Metazoa, Arthropoda, Insecta, Hymenoptera, Formicidae. The record is from RefSeq and is a predicted model, not a curated record. The transcript has 3 exons.
GAAAAAAGAAGUAGACAGAAUGAUGUAGGCACGGCCGGAUGCCGAGUUACUUAUAAAUAAGCCGGCCCCGGCGUUUUCCAUUAACGAUAAACGUUCGUCGAGCGAACAAAGUUUCCUCUCGAGAACGAGCUUGAAACGGCUCGCGAUUUUUUUCCCCGUACAGCUUCGAGUUCGCCCGCGUCGAUCCAUCGAGCAGCUGUGCGACAGACGGUGAAAAAGCAGCGCGAAAUAAGGGGACGCGAUUUGACGAUGCAGCGAUGUAAGGCGCUGGAUUCUGAAAGUUUGAAAACCGCUAAAAAAGUUGUUGCUGUAAAGAGAAAUAGGUCGCGGUGGCGCUGCGCGCAAAAUAAAAGAGCGCUCGAGUGUACCAGGCGAGUUCUAUUUCGUCUUAAUGAAGAUUUAUUCUCACGCUGGCGGUGUGAAGAAAACCCUUGAGCUACUGUGCCUCAAAAUUAUACAAAACUCUCUAUUCUUCUCUGAAAUUGUUCAAUUCAGAUUUUCCAAAAGCUUUCUUCGAUUGUAGGAUCAGCGUUUUGCAGAGACUUGAAACUUUCCUCCCGCGAAAAUGUGUACUCAAUUGUGAGGACGUCAUGAAUCGAGGACCAGGGAAUUGUUCUGUUUUCUUAGAGUUCAUCGUGUUUCGAAAUCUGAAUUGCUUACUUUAAUUGUGCAAAGUAAGGGAAGGGGGAGAAACGCAAGAAGUGAAUACAACAACGACGUUGUCGAACGAGAUUCCGAGCUUCUACGCGCGUCGCCGGCGAAUUUUUUCCGUCGUUGUAAUGGCAACAAUGUUGACAACAGGCUCAGGAAACGUCGCGGUAAAAGGGAAAAAGAAGCGAGCGCGCGCUGCUUGACAUACAAUGUGCGUUACGGGAGGAAUAACAGCGGCAGCGGCGUGAUAUUUCUUUACCCCUUUACAUCGCUCUCCGCUUUUGUAACACGAAUUUGCAAGUUUGGCAUCUUCAACAGAUCGUAAUGGGAACCACAGCAGAGUUAUGUGCUAAUUAGGUGUUGAUUUUAUAAUAUGAUUUUGCUGCCUCCAGCAGAAGACCGCGUUUUAAAAGGAUUCUACCUUAUAACAACAAAUAAAUAAACUAAUAACGACUGAAGGAGAGCAGAGGAAGAUAGCGACAUCCGAAGGACAUCAAAGAAGUGAGACGACAUGGUCACAUAAAUAUUGAAAAAAAUAUUUUUGUAUUUGAAACUAAAAUAUUCGGUACAUACGACUUGGUUACUUGGGUGUCAAAUAAAUUUGUCACUAAA